This 253-nucleotide ribosomal RNA is filed under the name uncultured bacterium. RNAcentral's name for it is "partial 16S ribosomal RNA". It matches the Rfam family "Bacterial small subunit ribosomal RNA", at positions 524 to 776 of the family's 1533-position model. The record is from RNAcentral.
UACGAAGGGUGCAAACGUUGCUCGGAAUUAUUGGGCGUAAAGCGCACGUAGGCGGCUUGGCAAGUCGGAUGUGAAAUCCCUCGGCUCAACCAAGGAAGUGCAUCCGAAACUGCUGAGCUUGAGUACUUAAGAGGAUCGCGGAAUUCCCGGUGUAGAGGUGAAAUUCGUAGAUAUCGGGAGGAACACCAGUGGCGAAAGCGGCGCACUGGACCACAACUGACGCUGAGGCGCGAAAGCUAGGGGAGCAAACAGG